Molecule: ribosomal RNA, 301 nt
Filed under: uncultured bacterium
Lineage: Bacteria
Description: partial 16S ribosomal RNA
Rfam family: Bacterial small subunit ribosomal RNA
Source: RNAcentral
CAGUAGCCGCGGUAAUACAGAGGGUGCGAGCGUUAAUCGGAUUUACUGGGCGUAAAGCGUGCGUAGGCGGCUUCUUAAGUCGGAUGUGAAAUCCCUGAGCUUAACUUAGGAAUUGCAUUCGAUACUGGGAAGCUAGAGUAUGGGAGAGGAUGGUAGAAUUCCAGGUGUAGCGGUGAAAUGCGUAGAGAUCUGGAGGAAUACCGAUGGCGAAGGCAGCCAUCUGGCCUAAUACUGACGCUGAGGUACAAAAGCAUGGGGAGCAAACAGGAUUAGAUACCCCUGUAGUCCCUGUCUCUUAUAU